AUUGAACGCUGGCGGAAGGCCUAACACAUGCAAGUCGAACGAGUGGCGGACGGGUGCGUAAUGUCUGGGAAACUGCCUGAUGGAGGGGGAUAACUACUGGAAACGGUAGCUAAUACCGCAUACCAUCGGAUGAGCCCCGAUGGGAUUAGCUAGUAGUUGGGGUAACGGCUCACCUAGGCGACGAUCCCUAGCUGGUCUGAGAGGAUGACCAGCCACACUGGAACUGAGACACGGUCCAGGCUCCUACGGUAGGCAGCAGUGGGGAAUAUUGCACAAUUGGCGCAAGCCUGAUGCAGCCAUGCCGCGUGUGUGAAUAAGGCCUUCGGGUUGUAAAGCACUUUCAGCGGGGAGGCGUUACCCGCAGAAGAAGCACCGGCUAACUCCGUGCCAGCAGCCGCGGUAAUAC
Molecule: ribosomal RNA, 406 nt
Filed under: uncultured bacterium
Lineage: Bacteria
Description: partial 16S ribosomal RNA
Rfam family: Bacterial small subunit ribosomal RNA
Source: RNAcentral